AAACCGAACAACUAGCCCACCCCCUAAGAAUCAACAAACAAUGUUAAUAACCCCUAAUAUACUAACACGAACCAAUAAAACAUUCUUCCCCCCUAGUAUGGGCGACAGAAAAGGACACCUGGCGCUAUAGAAAAAGUACCGCAAGGGAAAGCUGAAAGAGAAAUGAAACAACCCAUAAAAGACCAUAAAAGCAGAGAUAAAUACUCGUACCUUUUGCAUCAUGAUUUAGCUAGAAAUAAUCAAGCAAAGAGCCCUAUAGUUUGAUACCCCGAAACUGAGCGAGCUACUCCAGGACAGCCUAUUGCAGGGCAAACCCGUCUCUGUGGCAAAAGAGUGGGAAGAUCUUCGAGUAGAGGUGAAAAACCUACCGAGCACAGUUAUAGCUGGUUGCCUACAAAAUGAAUAGAAGUUCAGCCUUUAGCCUUCUUAAAUCAAGAAAGUUUAUACCCUAAGUGAUUACUAAGAAGGUUAAGGAGUUAUUCAAGGGGGGGACAGCCCCCUUGAAAAAAGACACAACUUUAUGUGGAAGGCUAAAGAUCAUAGUUAUAAAAGGCAAAAUACCUAAGUGGGCCUAAAAGCAGCCACCUGACAGAAAGCGUUAAAGCUCAAGUACCAGCCCAUCCAUAAUACCGACCACCCAUCUUAUGCCCCCACCGUACAGCUAGUAGGCCCUUCCAUGCACCCAUGGAAGUGAUUCUGCUAAUAUGAGUAAUAAGAGGGCUUGACCCUCUCCUCUCACCUGUUUAUAUCAGAACGGACCCCCCACUGAAAAUUAACGCUCCCAAACAAAGAGGGAAAUGGGUUAAUCAUCAUAAACGGGAAAACCCCCCAAACAUAAAGCGUUAACCCCACACAGGUGUGUUCAAGGAAAGACUAAAAGAAAAAGAAGGAACUCGGCAAACACCGGCCUCGCCUGUUUACCAAAAACAUCGCCUCUUGCAACAACAUAGUAUAAGAGGUCCUGCCUGCCCUGUGACCCUCGGGUUUAACGGCCGCGGUAUCCUGACCGUGCAAAGGUAGCGUAAUCACUUGUCUUUUAAAUGGAGACCUGUAUGAAUGGCAAGACGAGGGCUAAACUGUCUCCUUUUUCCAGUCAAUGAAAUUGAUCUCCCCGUGCAGAAGCGGGGAUAAUUACAUAAGACGAGAAGACCCCAUGGAGCUUCAGACAAAAAGCAGACCAUAUCAUAGUACCCCCUCUAAAGGAAACAACAUUAUGGCCCCUGCUCUUAUGUCUUUGGUUGGGGCGACCGCGGGGAAACAAAAAACCCCCAUGUAGAACNAGGAGUACUUCUCCUUAAGACAAGAGCCACAGCUCUAACAAGCAGUAAUACUGACUUUCANAGAUCCGGCAUGACAGCCGAUCAACGGACCAAGUUACCCUGGGGAUAACAGCGCAAUCCUNCUUUUAGAGCCCAUAUCGACAAGAGGGUUUACGACCUCGAUGUUGGAUCAGGACAUCCUANAUGGUGCAGCCGCUAUUAAGGGUUCGUUUGUUCAACGAUUAAAGUCCUACGUGAUCUGAGUUCAGACCGGAGAAAUCCAGGUCAGUUUCUAUCUAUGACUGCUCUUUUCUAGUACGAAAGGACCGAAAAGAGGGGGCCCAUGCUUAAGGUAAGCCUCUUUCUGACCUAAUUGAAGCCAACUUAAUUAGACAAAAGAACACAACACUACACUUCCUAAGAGAAAGGAAU
RNAcentral lists this ribosomal RNA (1691 nucleotides) under Acanthogobius hasta (javeline goby). RNAcentral describes it as "16S ribosomal RNA". It matches the Rfam family "Bacterial large subunit ribosomal RNA". Lineage: Eukaryota; Metazoa; Chordata; Actinopteri; Gobiiformes; Gobiidae. The record is from RNAcentral.